RNAcentral lists this long non-coding RNA (713 nucleotides) under Rattus norvegicus (Norway rat). Its description in RNAcentral is "long non-coding RNA NONRATT024916". Lineage: Eukaryota; Metazoa; Chordata; Mammalia; Rodentia; Muridae. The record is from RNAcentral.
AAAUAAACGUGCUAUUGCAUCUACGUGAAGGUCAAGAGAACGACUUGGAGAAGUUGCUUGUACUUUCCUUCAACCCAGUGAGUCCUUGGGCUUGAACUCAAGUCAUUAAGCUCAACUGCAACUGCCUUUACCCACUGAGCCCUCUUGCCAGCCCAAUAUUCUCAUUUUAGGGGUCCCGGAUAGAAAGAAGUAAGAAAAAUUACCAUGAGUAGAAAGAGAAGAGGUGGUCAUGAGGCAGAAUGUCCAGUAGGAGCCUUGAGGAUCACGUUUCCAAUGACUUGGCCAUGAGGACAUACAUGGAGCAGAACAAUGUCAGGGACAUGUCCAAUCACAGUUGGACGGGAGUGUGGUAAGUGAUUCCAGGCUGCUACAGUGGGCAAGGCAUGCGUACUACAUGGUUCCAAAAAGACAACAGAGGGCAUAAAGAAGACAGGUCUGGGACACAAAACUGCAAGACUCAUAAAUGUUCUAGAACCUCCAGAAACUGUACUGCCUGCUGGGAAACAAAUGUUCAAACACAGGCAGGUGGCUCAGCCACUAAAAACAUUUCCCUGCUCUUCCAGAGAACCCUGAGUUUGGUUUCCAGAAUGAAAAUGGCUAUUCACAACUUUCCCUAACUCCAUCUAGUGGACCUGACACCUAUUUCUGGCCUCCACGGGCACUGCAUGCACACUAUAUGUAAAAAUAAAAGGAAAAUUUGAAAACUUUUAAAA